Molecule: long non-coding RNA, 754 nt
Filed under: Mytilus galloprovincialis (Mediterranean mussel)
Lineage: Eukaryota; Metazoa; Mollusca; Bivalvia; Mytilida; Mytilidae
Source: RNAcentral
GUUCAGUAAUUUUCGUGUCUGCCCUUCCAUUAUGUGACUGAAGAAAAAAUUCCAAAAAAUAGGUAACAAUUGUAUCGAAAAGAGAAAAUCGAGUGCACCUUUUUAUGUUAGGGCGUGUUUGAGUUGAGUAUUUUGUCUUGAUAUCGUUCAAAGUAAGAAUAUUUCAUACAUCGUCUCGCUUCAGAUUCUAUCAUUUUUUAUAAAUUAAAGCUACAGGUUGACUUUAUAACACAAAAAAAUAACAGUACUAAAAGAUGAAAUAUAUGGGUCAAGUGAAAUACCUAUCUAAUGAGUCACAAAAACAGGGAAGGUGUGUUCGAAUAGCUAUUUUUUUACUGAAAGUACUUGACGACAGUCUUACAAGUUGGAUGAUGAAAAUGCAUAUCUUCGAAAAAUUCUAAUUUUUUGUGUGUGAUAACUAGGGUUUAUAGUCUUCAACCACUAAAAAAAUCUAGUCUGCCCUUCCACGAAAUAUUUAAUUAGAUUUUUUUUUAAAUGUUUAUGAUUUUUCGAAAAUUCCACCUAACAACCGAUCAGACAAUAGUUUUAAGUUGAAUCAAUGCAGACAAGAUCAUUAACUGAUGCUCAUUAGCUAGUUGAUACAUUUGUCUUUUAAAAUAUAACUGACAUAUAAGGAUCGUAUUGGUGCAAUGUGGAUAAAUUUAUCGGUUUCCAAGAGCAAAAUUGGUAGCGCGUCAUCGCUACAAUGGCUUCCAUUUUUACGAUUGUGAAAAUGAACUGGCGUAAUGGGGAG